RNAcentral lists this ribosomal RNA (253 nucleotides) under uncultured bacterium. RNAcentral describes it as "partial 16S ribosomal RNA". It matches the Rfam family "Bacterial small subunit ribosomal RNA", at positions 524 to 776 of the family's 1533-position model. The record is from RNAcentral.
UACAGAGGUCCCGAGCGUUGUUCGGAUUCACUGGGCGUAAAGGGUGCGUAGGUGGUGGGGUAAGUCGGAUGUGAAAUCUCGGAGCUCAACUCCGAAAUGGCAUUGGAAACUACCCUGCUGGAGGUUUGGAGGGGGGACUGGAAUACUUGGUGUAGCAGUGAAAUGCGUAGAUAUCAAGUGGAACACCAGUGGCGAAGGCGAGUCCCUGGACAAAACCUGACACUGAGGCACGAAAGCUAGGGGAGCAAACAGG